GGGGUGGUAGUCUAGCUUGGCUAUGAUACGUGCCCGGGGCGCACGUGGUCGUGAGUUCGAAUCUCACCCACCCCA
Molecule: transfer RNA, 75 nt
Filed under: Nanobdellota archaeon
Lineage: Archaea; Nanobdellati; Nanobdellota
Description: tRNA-Pro
Rfam family: tRNA
About the family: Transfer RNA (tRNA) molecules are approximately 80 nucleotides in length. Their secondary structure includes four short double-helical elements and three loops (D, anti-codon, and T loops).
Source: RNAcentral